RNAcentral lists this ribosomal RNA (465 nucleotides) under uncultured bacterium. RNAcentral's name for it is "partial 16S ribosomal RNA". It matches the Rfam family "Bacterial small subunit ribosomal RNA", at positions 28 to 507 of the family's 1533-position model. The record is from RNAcentral.
GACGAACGCUGGCGGCGUGCUUAACACAUGCAAGUCGAACGGAAAGGCCCCUUUGGGGGUACUCGAGUGGCGAACGGGUGAGUAACACGUGAGUAACCUGCCCUUGACUUCGGGAUAACUUCAGGAAACUGGGGCUAAUACCGGAUAGGAAUCCUUGCUGCAUGGUGGGGGUUGGAAAGCUUCGGCGGUUUUGGAUGGACUCGCGGCGUAUCAGCUUGUUGGUGGGGUAGUGGCUUACCAAGGCUUUGACGGGUAGCCGGCCUGAGAGGGCGACCGGCCACAUUGGGACUGAGAUACGGCCCAGACGCCUACGGGAGGCAGCAGGGGGGAAUAUUGCACAAUGGGCGGAAGCCUGAUGCAGCAACGCCGCGUGCGGGAUGACGGCCUUCGGGUUGUAAACCGCUUUCAGCAGGGGCGAAGCUUGUGGUGACGGUACCUGCAGAAGAAGCACCGGCUAACUACGUG